UACGUAGGGUGCGAGCGUUGUUCGGAUUCAUUGGGCGUAAAGGGUGUGUAGGUGGCGCGCUAAGUCGGGUGUGAAAUUUCGGAGCUUAACUCCGAAACUGCAUUCGAUACUGGCGUGCUUGAGGACUGGAGAGGAGACUGGAAUUCAUGGUGUAGCAGUGAAAUGCGUAGAGAUCAUGAGGAAGACCAGUGGCGAAGGCGGGUCUCUGGACAGUUCCUGACACUGAGGCACGAAGGCCAGGGGAGCAAACAGG
RNAcentral lists this ribosomal RNA (253 nucleotides) under uncultured bacterium. RNAcentral describes it as "partial 16S ribosomal RNA". It matches the Rfam family "Bacterial small subunit ribosomal RNA", at positions 524 to 776 of the family's 1533-position model. The record is from RNAcentral.